This 253-nucleotide ribosomal RNA is filed under the name uncultured bacterium. RNAcentral's name for it is "partial 16S ribosomal RNA". It matches the Rfam family "Bacterial small subunit ribosomal RNA", at positions 524 to 776 of the family's 1533-position model. The record is from RNAcentral.
UACGGAGGGUGCAAGCGUUAUCCGGAUUUACUGGGUUUAAAGGGUGUGUAGGCGGGCUAUUAAGUCAGUGGUGAAAUCUCCGAGCUUAACUUGGAAACUGCCAUUGAUACUAUUAGUCUUGAAUAUUGUUGAGGUGGGCGGAAUAUGUCAUGUAGCGGUGAAAUGCAUAGAUAUGACAUAGAACACCAAUUGCGAAGGCAGCUCACUGAACAAUUAUUGACGCUGAGGCACGAAAGCGUGGGGAUCAAACAGG